RNAcentral lists this ribosomal RNA (427 nucleotides) under uncultured bacterium. RNAcentral's name for it is "bacterial SSU rRNA". It matches the Rfam family "Bacterial small subunit ribosomal RNA", at positions 32 to 434 of the family's 1533-position model. The record is from RNAcentral.
AAUCAACGCUGGCGGCGUGCCUCAGACAUGCAAGUCGAACGCGAAAGUCCCCUUCGGGGGACGAAGUAGAGUGGCGCACGGGUGGGUAACACGUAGGUAAUCUACCUUCGGAUGGGGAAGUAACAACCGGAAACGGUUGCUAAUACCGCAUAAUGCAGCGGCACCUAAUGGUGACAGUUGUUAAAGCGGGGGAUCGAAAGACCUCGCGUCUGAAGAGGAGCCUGCGGCGGAUUAGCUAGNGGUUAAGGUAAUGGCUUACCAAGGCGACGAUCCGUAGCCGGCCUGAGAGGGCGGUCGGCCACACUGACACUGACAUACGGGUCAGACUCCUACGGGAGGCAGCAGUGGGGAAUCUUGCGCAAUGGGCGAAAGACCUGACGCAGCGACGCCGCGUGAGGGAUGACGGCCUCGGUUGUAACGUACUUCU